This 627-nucleotide unclassified non-coding RNA is filed under the name Bombus terrestris (buff-tailed bumblebee). RNAcentral describes it as "misc RNA ENSBTSG00005019981.1". Lineage: Eukaryota; Metazoa; Arthropoda; Insecta; Hymenoptera; Apidae. The record is from RNAcentral.
GGAUACGCGAGCCGAUAAGACUCGUGCACGGAAUAAACGAAUCGAGUGGUGGCUUUGAUCGACCCGCAGGAUAUAACCCGGAUACAACGUCUCAUGUGUACGUGUAAUAUCGUGGACAAAAGGCCUAAGAGAUAUCGGGUGAACCAUAAACAGUGUCGUGCGAAAGCCAAGGUGCCAACAGGCCCAUCGAUGUGUCGUCGUUCCUUCGUGAUCCUGGCUACGAGCGAUUGCGGAACACGUGCGUGGUGGAGCUAAGACAAAAGACAAAGGGAUGCUAAGGGACAUAGACGAAUUAACAGUCAGUGUCAGUGGAGAAGACGGAGAGUGCGAAUUUGAGAAGUCAGAGAUUGCGAAUUGCAUUGUCGAGAGAGCGUGAUCCGUGGUGACGAGAGUUGCGAAUUAACUAUCUAGUUGUCUUAAUUAUAGCACGUUUUACAACCAUACAUUUAGUUCACGUUAAACAACCAUCGUUUCCUGUUUAAUCAACAUCUGUACAACCCUUAAUUAUUAAUAAAUUAAUUAUAGUAUAAGAUGUUGAGGAAAUAUUAGGUUGGUAUGAUCACUAGUUCCUACAUGCUAAGUUGGUACGACUUUUAACGACGCUCCUUUGUCUUUGGCGUUGGCCAC